This is a non-coding RNA of Coturnix japonica (Japanese quail), 2848 nucleotides long. The record is from RefSeq and is a predicted model, not a curated record. Lineage: Eukaryota; Metazoa; Chordata; Aves; Galliformes; Phasianidae.
GCUACCUGCAGUAACUGGCAUCUUCCAGUCUCACAGCAAAUCUCACCAGGAUCCUGGUUGGCAGAUGGCUAAAGAUCAGGCUCUGUCAGUUCUGCACUGAUGUUUUGAGUGAAGACUGUUGCUGGAUGAAAUACUUCAAAAUGUGUGGAAAGCCUGGCUUAAAUACAUCAGAUCUUGGUGCAGAUUCCCUCUGGGGACCGCAUCCAAAUCCAAAUCUCUGUCUUCAUUAGCCUCCAAUUACUUGGUUGAGUUGCACUGAUUAGGAUAAAGUUACCUCUGCAUACAUUGAAGAAGAAUGGAAAACACGUAAGUUCCUCUCUGGGAUGCAAAAUACUGUCACCUGUGCUAGGGCUUUAAAGCUGAUUUUCUGUCUGCUCCCAACUCCUCUGCAGAGAGGUGUUCUGAGGGCAAGUAUUCCUGGAGCAAAGCCUCCCACGUGUCAUCACUGUGAGAUUCUAGGAGGCUCCUGGACUUCUGAUUCAAGAGAGGCAUCUCCAUCCUCCACUGCCUCGUCCAUAAGGAAGCACAGAGGCCAGGGGGUCUUCAUUGCAUGAAAUAUAGGUGGGCUUUUGGAGAGAGUCCUGGGAAGGCAUGUUGUGACAGCAAAGAGCCACAGUGGUGUCAGCAGAUGUGUUCAUACCAAUCUGUAUGUUUGACUUCUGCUUUCUUCCUGCAGUAGCACCCCAAGUUUAAACCUGGAGCAGAAAAGCACCAUUGCCCCCCAAAUUGGCUUUGUGCAGCCAAGCUGCAGCCUCAGGACCAGGUCUGUCCAGACUGACUUCCUCUGGUAGAGACAAGAGUUUUGUGUGGUGGCAGUGCCCUAGCAGACAGUCCUGUUGGAGCCUGGGGUAAGCUGAUUCAAGCAUCACAAAGUUGUUAAGCGACACAGAGAUUUCCUUCUGUUUCAUACACACACGCUGCCAGCUCUCUGCUCUGUACAGUGAGGUUUCCACCAUGAUGAGUAUAGUUGGACCAGAUGGCCGGCUUUUCUCAUCUACAAUUCAUAGUACAACAAUUCCUUUCCUGUUUUCUGACAAUUUUGAGCAAGUGAGAUGCCAGAUAAUGUUUCCGCAAUGUGUUCAGAAUUGAAAACAGCAGCGUCACGUAGAAGGCAAUUGCUUGCACAUCUGACCAUUACAUUUACAUAUAACAGUAGGAGUUAGGCUACUCCUAACUCCUGUAGGAGCAACAGGCUGUUUUCACCUGCCAUUCCUCAACUUUUCCUGACAAACUAGCUGGAAUUUGAGCAUUUCUAAAAGAAUGAAAAUACACAGAUAUACAAGAAUCAUACAAUCGUAGAAUCAUGAAAGCUGGAAAAGACCUCUAAGAUCACCAAGUCCAACCACCACCCCAUCACAACCAUGCCCACUAACCCAGGUCCCCAGACCCACAUCACCAGGGUUCUCAGAUACCUGUAGGGAUGGUGACUCCACCGCCUUCCUGUACAGCCUGUUCAGGAGGCAGGGAUUCAUAACCCCAUUAGGAAACCCCAGAAACUGUACAAUUCCAUCUUGAAUGCAUUCUGGUAGGUAGACGUUUUCUUCUCAAACUACAGUUAACAAAUACUUCACAAAUCCCUGGAAAUUUAGGGACCACAGUUUGAAAGCUACUGAACUACCAAGCGCAGUAUGUGGAUGUGACAGCUGGAAGACACUUUCUCCUUGACUUAAUGAAGUACAAACAUGCCACUAUUAAAACAGGCUAUAAACUGAAUGUAUUUUAACUUCGGUUAUUUCCUUACCUUCUCUCUCCCUUCUCUCCUCCUUUUCUACACAGAGCCAAAGGAUACCAUCCUCAGCCCCUGCUGGCUUUCAGCUGGCUGCUCCCUGCUGUGCGAAGCCACAGGAAAGUGAUGUUUUCCUCCACUGCUAUCAAGCAGAAAUGUCAGUGUUAAGAUCAAGUGGGUGUGCAAAGCAGCUUGGAGAAGAGAGUUGUGUGAAAUAAUAGCUCCACACAGAGAUUUAAGGCAAGCAGCUUUGUUAAGAGCCAUCUUUUAGAAGAUGACAGCAAAGGCUGAUGUGAAUUUAGAAUUAUUUAUCUUUCUUAAUCUACUUCUUUUUUUUUUUUCUAUGCCUGAGGUAAACACACACACACAAAUGUUGCAUCAGAAUUUGAUUAUGUUCUGUAUAAAAACAGGUGUGUGUCUUCUGCCUGAAGCCCUCAAAAAUAGUAGUGGUAAUGGAUUUUUAUUUGAGCUCACUUCUGCUUUAUAAUAAAUUUUGCUUCCCUGUAAGUGGCAUUAGACAAAGCUGCUGCUAACAAUGGCAUCAGCUAUUGCCUUUUGCUGUCUGCUGUCAGAAGCUCAAAGCCAAAUACUCUGACUCACUGCAGGUGCUACAGAUAAUUAUAUUUUACCACUUUGUGUUACAGUGCUCUGCUAAAAUAAGAGCUGAUUGCAAGACACCGAAAUAAACAUGGCAAGAGGUGACUUCCACUAUAAUGGAUCCUCAGCCUAUGAAUAUGAAAGGUAGGAGGGAGGCCAUUUUUUCCCAGAUAUGUAACAGAUCUGUCUGGUUUUGAUGUCAUUAUGGCAUUUAAUGGUUUAAUCCUACUGCUAACUCACACAGGCAAGUUAUUCAAGGUAGAUAUUGAGAAAAAAAAAACAGCUGCUAAAUGGGGUAUGCUUGUCAGCACCCUGAGAACACAAGAUCUGCAGGGCAAGGGAUGCUCAGAGAGCAGUGCAGCUCUGCUGCUGCUCACUAAGAGUGCAAAGAGUAGAAUACAGCAAUAGGGAAACAGGACAUGGCUUUUAUGAGCAAAGGCAUUGGCUGUUAAGGCUGCACAUUUCCUGUUAGGAAUUCUGGAAUGCUGUUACAUGUCUAUGUAACAAUAAAACCACAGAACUAUA